UUGGAGCAACAGAAACAAGGAAACUGAGGUUGUAUUUGACGAACGUUUUAUUUAAAAGUAUGGAUUUGAGCAAACAAAGAAAGGGACACAACUACAGAGGUUAAACAUUGGUACAGGAUAUCCUUUGCCUAUCGGCUGAAGACGGUGUCAAGGAAGACCUCACUUCGACCCAUCAAGAAGAGUAUUUCACCCCAGUCGGGAGGCCCAACCCAUAGGAGGAAGACUGUCCUGGACCACCAGCUUGUUGGUGAUGCUUGCAAGGAGGCUAUUUAUAAAAAUAUAUAUAUUUUUCACCUUUAUUUAACCAGUCAUGCUGCAGCAUUGAAGACCAUCUUGAUGGGAGCCAUGGUCGACAGCCAUACCUCCUUGCCGUUGGAAGAAGACAGAGCAAGAUUGACAACUACUACAUCAUGGUGGACAAGAGGCUUGUUUCCUGCCAGGCAACUUUUUAUUUAACCA
This is a long non-coding RNA of Salvelinus namaycush (lake trout), 459 nucleotides long. RefSeq lists it as uncharacterized. The transcript has 3 exons. The record is from RefSeq and is a predicted model, not a curated record. NCBI's taxonomy places the organism in Eukaryota, Metazoa, Chordata, Actinopteri, Salmoniformes, Salmonidae.